CCAUGUUUGCGCGAGAAGCCGAACUGAAUGCAUUCAUAACGCCUUGGAUUAGCACGCCGCAACAGAAGAUUCAUCUCCACACCGCAAGACUCCAUUCAAUCAGAGCCAUUCCAGGAAUCUGCCGGGACGGAGACGCAUCUCUGCAGGCCUGGCUCUAUCCGGAUCGAGCAGAGACACGGCGUUCUCUAAACAUGCUCUUCCGAAGCUCCGAACGUCAUGAACACAGAUGCACGUGAAGGCCUGUUCCAAAGGUUAUCAAGUCUCUGCUUUAAAACAAUGGAACACUUUCCUUCUGACCAAAACAAUGUCUUCCUGUCAGUCUACAUCCCUGUAAGCAUCCUCAUUCACACACAACACUCUCUCUCAAACAAACUAGUCCUUGUCGUACGCAAUUACUGCACCUCAUGUUUACCGCAAAACCAAUUCUGAAGAGAAUCUCUCUAACAGAGCUGCCGUUGUUGAGUUCUUGUGCUUCAUAGAGAGAGUGUGUGUGUGUGUGAGUGUGUGUGCAUGGGGCACUCCUUUCUCUUCAAUUCAGCUGAUAAUAACACUCUCUCGGCUUCCUCAAGUGCUCAGUCAUGACCUCUGACCCUCCGUCGAGACUCACAUACGCUCUACUGCGGUUCCUCUGGAUCUUAAUUCGAUUUCAAGUCUAAUUGAGUGCUGAAGUGUGAAUGCCUGCAAGCAGGUUGAUGGCGAGUAAACACACAGUCCUACUUAUUAAGUGUGCGAUAAGAAAAACAUCAAAGAAAGAAGACGCUUAAAAUGAGGCUGUUGAUUGAAUCAAAUGAAUCAGAUUCAAUUACGCUAUGCAUCAUUUUUGAAAUACUGUUAACAUUUAUUCAGUUGUGGAGUUAGCGUUAAUUUGUACUUUUUCAGUUUUUAACUAAUACAUUUUAUUAAAGCUUAAGAAAUGUUGUGCUGUGCUUUGGUCAUUUUCUAAAUCUCCUGUGUUUUUUAUAUUUCUAUUUUAGUUUUUAGUUAAGGCUUUAUUAUUAUCAUUAUUAGGUUUUAUUUACUUCAAAGUAAAUUCAUUUCAAGUCUUUUUAAUUCGAUCAAAAACAACUAUAUAUAAAUAGCGUUCUAUUACACGGCUGUACUUCAACUUACUAUUUUAAUGGUUUUAUUCAGCAGUAAGAAAUCUAGGAUGCAAUAUUAAAAUUCUUAAACGUUAAAAAAUAAAAAUAAUGCAUUGAAAUAAAAUUAAUAAAAUUCUCAAAACAUUCACUUUAAAUACUACAAGUAAACUAAACAUCCCAACAUUAUAAAAAUGGAUAUCCCUUUUUUUAUUCGCUCACUUUUAAUUUAUUUAUACAUUUCUUUAUUUCCACAGAAACUGAGACCGGUGGAAUUCACCACGGGUUGAUUUCCUUGAGCUAAACGGAGUAUGCUAAAAACUGUCAGUGUUACUAAGCUGUUUCUGUAAGUGUAUUUAUUUUCAGUGUUGAAGCGUGUCUGCUGCUGGCCUCAUCUCGGAGAGGAACUGCUCCACAGCAGCAUCAUUCAGAGAUCUGAUAGAGGAACUGGUUCUCUAACCUCUGCAGCACAAAGCCUGUCGAGAUUUAUCUGCUCCGCGCUCGGUCCAGUUUUCAGGGCUUUUCUUAUUUUCAUUUACAAAGAUAAUGUGCCCAGUGAGUCCC
This is a long non-coding RNA of Puntigrus tetrazona (Sumatra barb), 1640 nucleotides long. RefSeq lists it as uncharacterized. The transcript is spliced from 3 exons. NCBI's taxonomy places the organism in Eukaryota, Metazoa, Chordata, Actinopteri, Cypriniformes, Cyprinidae. The record is from RefSeq and is a predicted model, not a curated record.